RNAcentral lists this ribosomal RNA (373 nucleotides) under uncultured Pseudomonadota bacterium. RNAcentral's name for it is "bacterial SSU rRNA". It matches the Rfam family "Bacterial small subunit ribosomal RNA", at positions 958 to 1392 of the family's 1533-position model. The record is from RNAcentral. Lineage: Bacteria; Pseudomonadati; Pseudomonadota.
AACGCGAAGAACCUUACCUGGGCUUGACAUGUGGGUGACAGCCGUGGAAACACGGUCUGGGACACCUACAGGUGCUGCAUGGCUGGAGCGUGGUGAGAUGUUGGGUUAAGCCGCAACGAGCGCAACCCUUGCUUAGUUGCUACGCAAGAGCACUAAGGAGACUGCCGGUGACAAACCGGAGGAAGGUGGGGAUGACGAAGCAUGGCCCUUAUGGGUAGGGCUACACGAUACAAUGGGGAACAGAGGGUUGCCAACCCGCGAGGGGGAGCUAACCAGAAAACCGAGUAGCGGAUUGCACUGCAACGAGUGCAUGAAGCUGGAAGCUAGUAAGCGGAAGCAUGCCGCGGUGAAUACGUCCGGGUUGUACACACCG